UACGUAGGGGGGCAAGCGUUGUCCGGAUUUAUUGGGCGUAAAGAGCGUGUAGGCGGUCUGGUAGGUCCGUUGUGAAAACUCGAGGCUCAACCUCGAGACGCCGAUGGAAACCAUCAGACUAGAGUCCGGAAGAGGAGAGUGGAAUUCCUGGUGUAGCGGUGAAAUGCGCAGAUAUCAGGAAGAACACCCGUGGCUAAGGCGGCUCUCUAGUACGGUACUGACGCUGAGACGCGAAAGCGUGGGGAGCGAACAGG
RNAcentral lists this ribosomal RNA (254 nucleotides) under uncultured bacterium. RNAcentral's name for it is "partial 16S ribosomal RNA". It matches the Rfam family "Bacterial small subunit ribosomal RNA", at positions 524 to 776 of the family's 1533-position model. The record is from RNAcentral.